UUUGCCUUUUGUGAUACGCUUUCAAAGAGUCAGGUUGUUUGGGAAUGCAGCCUAAAUUGGGUGGUAAAUCUCACCUAAAGCUAAAUAUUGGCGAGAAACCGAUAGCGAACAAGUACCGUGAGGGAAAGAUGAAAAGAACUUUGAAAAGAGAGUUAAACAGUAUGUGAAAUUGUUAAAAGGGAACCGUUUGGAGCCAGACUGGCUUGUCUGUAAUCAAUCUAGGCUUCGGCCUGGAUGCACUUGCAGGCUAUGCCUGCCAACGACAAUUUGACUUGAGGGAAAAAACUAGGGGAAAUGUGGCCCACUUGUGGGUGUUAUAGUCCCUUAGAAAAUACCUUGGGUUGGAUUGAGGAACGCAGCGAAUGCUUAUUGGCGAGUUUUCCAGGAAGGUUUUCUGAGGUACUACGGUAUCAAGGUUGAUCU
RNAcentral lists this ribosomal RNA (423 nucleotides) under Rhizopus arrhizus. RNAcentral describes it as "eukaryotic LSU rRNA". It matches the Rfam family "Eukaryotic large subunit ribosomal RNA", at positions 236 to 619 of the family's 3401-position model. The record is from RNAcentral. Lineage: Eukaryota; Fungi; Mucoromycota; Mucoromycetes; Mucorales; Rhizopodaceae.